CCUACGUGGAGCAGCAGUGGGGAAUAUUGGACAAUGGGCGAAAGCCUGAUCCAGCCAUGCCGCGUGUGUGAAGAAGGCCUUCGGGUUGUAAAGCACUUUCAGUGGGGAAGAAAGCCUUGGGGCUAAUACCCUCGAGGAAGGACAUCACCCACAGAAGAAGCACCGGCUAACUCCGUGCCAGCAGCCGCGGUAAUACGGAGGGUGCGAGCGUUAAUCGGAAUUACUGGGCGUAAAGCGCGCGUAGGCGGUCUGAUAAGCCGGUUGUGAAAGCCCCGGGCUCAACCUGGGAACGGCAUCCGGAACUGUCAGGCUAGAGUGCAGGAGAGGAAGGUAGAAUUCCCGGUGUAGCGGUGAAAUGCGUAGAGAUCGGGAGGAAUACCAGUGGCGAAGGCGGCCUUCUGGACUGACACUGACGCUGAGGUGCGAAAGCGUGGGUAGCAAACAGGAUUAGAUACCCGGGUAGUC
RNAcentral lists this ribosomal RNA (465 nucleotides) under Vreelandella stevensii. RNAcentral's name for it is "partial 16S ribosomal RNA". It matches the Rfam family "Bacterial small subunit ribosomal RNA", at positions 338 to 795 of the family's 1533-position model. The record is from RNAcentral. Lineage: Bacteria; Pseudomonadati; Pseudomonadota; Gammaproteobacteria; Oceanospirillales; Halomonadaceae.